UACGUAGGUGGCAAGCGUUGUCCGGAAUUAUUGGGCGUAAAGCGCGCGCAGGUGGUUCUUUAAGUCUGAUGUGAAAGCCCACGGCUCAACCGUGGAGGGUCAUUGGAAACUGGGGAACUUGAGUGCAGAAGAGGAAAGUGGAAUUCCACGUGUAGCGGUGAAAUGCGUAGAGAUGUGGAGGAACACCAGUGGCGAAGGCAGCUCGCUGGGACGGUACUGACGCUGAGACGCGAAAGCGUGGGGAGCAAACAGG
This 253-nucleotide ribosomal RNA is filed under the name uncultured bacterium. Its description in RNAcentral is "partial 16S ribosomal RNA". It matches the Rfam family "Bacterial small subunit ribosomal RNA", at positions 524 to 776 of the family's 1533-position model. The record is from RNAcentral.